UACGGAGGAUCCGAGCGUUAUCCGGAUUUAUUGGGUUUAAAGGGUGCUCAGGCGGGCCAUUAAGUCGGCGGUGAAAUUUUGCGGCUCAACCGUAAAAGUGCCUUCGAUACUGGUGGUCUUGAGUGUGGAUGAGGUAGGCGGAAUUUGUGGUGUAGCGGUGAAAUGCAUAGAUAUCACGAGGAACUCCGAUUGCGCAGGCAGCUUACUAAACCAUAACUGACGCUCAGGCACGAAGGCGUGGGGAUCAAACAGGAUUAGAUACCCCUGUAGU
This 271-nucleotide ribosomal RNA is filed under the name uncultured prokaryote. RNAcentral's name for it is "partial 16S ribosomal RNA". It matches the Rfam family "Bacterial small subunit ribosomal RNA", at positions 524 to 794 of the family's 1533-position model. The record is from RNAcentral.